This 257-nucleotide unclassified non-coding RNA is filed under the name uncultured Russula. RNAcentral describes it as "sequence contains ITS2". The record is from RNAcentral. Lineage: Eukaryota; Fungi; Basidiomycota; Agaricomycetes; Russulales; Russulaceae. RNAcentral also lists the same sequence under 1 other name.
AAUUCUCAAAACCCUUUCUUUGGUCUUUUGAUCAGGGGAAGGAUUUUUGGACUUGGAGGCCUUUUGCUGGUUUCACCUUGAAGCGAGCUCCUCCCAAAUGGAUUAGUGGGGUCUGCUUUGCCGAUCCUUGGCGUGAUAAGUUGUUUCUACGUCUUGGGUUUUGGCACUGUACACCUGCUUCUAACUGUCUCAUCGACAAUGAUGGUGCUCUGGUCACCGCCGAUUUCUCGGUGGGAGGCUUGACCCACAAAAUGAAC